Molecule: non-coding RNA, 775 nt
Filed under: Pararge aegeria aegeria
Lineage: Eukaryota; Metazoa; Arthropoda; Insecta; Lepidoptera; Nymphalidae
Source: RNAcentral
AUAAAAUUUUUAUGUUUUAAAAAAUUUAUUAUGAAUUUAUUUUACAUAUAAAUUUUAGUAUAUAAUUUUAAUUAUUUAAAUAAUAAUUAAUUAAAAAUUAUAGUAAUUAAAAUUAAAAAUUUAAGAAAUUAAGAUUUAGUAAUAUAAAAAUUAAUAACUAAUUUUGUGCCAGCAGUUGCGGUUAUACAAAAAUUAAAUUAAAUUGUUUCAGUUUUUAAUAAAUAAAAUAUAAAAUUAAAAUAAAUAUUAAAUUAUUAAGUGAAAUUUUAAUUUAAUUAAAUUUUAAAAUAAUUUUAUGAUUUAAUAAAUUUAAUAAUAAACUAGGAUUAGAUACCCUAUUAUUAAAAAUUUAAUUUAUAAUACUAAAAUAGUAAAUAAAAAAUAUUGAAACUUAAAUAAUAUGGCGGUAUUUUAGUUCAUUUAGAGGAAUCUGUCUAAUAAUUGAUAAUCCACGAAUAAAUUUACUUAAUUUAAAAUUUUAUAUAUCGUUGUUAAAAAAAUAUUUUAUAAUAAAAAUAAUAUUUAAGAUUUUAUAAAUAAAAUUAAUUCAGAUCAAGAUAUAGAUUAUAAUUAAGAAUAUGAUGGAUUACAAUAAAAUAAUUUAAAUGAAUAAUUUGAUUUUAAUUUUAAUUUGAAGGUGGAUUUAAAUGUAAUUUUGAUUAGUUUAUUAAAAUGAUUAAAAAUUGAAAUAUGUACAUAUUGCCCGUCACUUUCAUUUAAAAAUUGAAAUAAGUCGUAACAAAGUAGAGGUACUGGAAAGUGUUUCUAGAAAGAA